AGAGUUUGAUCAUGGCUCAGAACGAACGUUGGCGGCGUGGAUUAGGCAUGCAAGUCGAACGAAUCCCUUGGGGGAAACUCUGAGGGGGAAGUGGCGAAAGGGGCAGUAAUGUAUGGGUAACCUACCCCCAGGUCGUGAAUAGCCUUUCUAACGAUUGGGUAAUGCACGGCGUGGUCUUCGGGUGGCAUCACCUGGCGAUUAAAGAACUUCGCCUGGGGAGGGGCCCAUAUCGUAUCAGCUAGUUGGUGGGGUGACGGCCUACCAAGGCGAAAACGCGUAGCGGGUGUGAGAGCACGACCCGCGCCACUGGCACUGAGACACUGGCCAGACUCCUACGGGAGGCUGCAGUCGAGGAUCUUCGGCAAUGGGCGCAAGCCUGACCGAGCGACGCCGCGUGUGCGAUGAAGGCCUUCGGGUUGUAAAGCACUGUCGAGGGGGAGGAAGCCGCAAGGUUGACCUAUCCCUGGAGGAAGGACGGGCUAAGUUCGUGCCAGCAGCCGCGGUAAGACGAACCGUCCAAACGUUGUUCGGAAUCACUGGGCUUAAAGGGCGCGUAGGCGGGUGAGCAAGUCUGUGGUGAAAUCCCCCGGCUUAACCGGGGAACUGCCGUGGAUACUGCCCAUCUCGAGGAGGAUAGGGGCAUCUGGAACUAGCGGUGGAGCGGUGAAAUGCGUUGAUAUCGCUAGGAACUCCGGUGGCGAAGGCGAGAUGCUGGAUCCUUUCUGNNGCUGAGGCGCGAAAGCCAGGGGAGCGAACGGGAUUAGAUACCCUAGUAGUCC
This 779-nucleotide ribosomal RNA is filed under the name uncultured bacterium. RNAcentral describes it as "bacterial SSU rRNA". It matches the Rfam family "Bacterial small subunit ribosomal RNA", at positions 8 to 796 of the family's 1533-position model. The record is from RNAcentral.